RNAcentral lists this small RNA (390 nucleotides) under Pongo abelii (Sumatran orangutan). RNAcentral's name for it is "retained intron". The record is from RNAcentral. Lineage: Eukaryota; Metazoa; Chordata; Mammalia; Primates; Hominidae.
GUACAAGCCCGAAUCGGAGGAGCUGACGGCAGAGAGGAUCACAGAGUUCUGCCACCGCUUCCUGGAGGGCAAAAUCAAGCCCCACCUGAUGAGCCAGGAGCUGCCAGACGACUGGGACAAGCAGCCCGUCAAGGUGCUUGUUGGGAAGAACUUUGAAGACGUGGCUUUUGAUGAGAAAAAGAACGUCUUUGUGGAGUUCUGUAAGUGUUGCCCUUUCAGCUCCCCAGGUCCGUGCCACCAGGGCACGCACGAGGUGGGCAGACUCCGGGGAGGCGUCUGCCGGUGGCUUUGUGAUCCAGGACGCACCCUAGAACUGCUUUCUUUUCAGAUGCCCCAUGGUGUGGUCACUGCAAACAGUUGGCUCCCAUUUGGGAUAAACUAGGAGAGACG